Molecule: long non-coding RNA, 1865 nt
Filed under: Homo sapiens (human)
Lineage: Eukaryota; Metazoa; Chordata; Mammalia; Primates; Hominidae
Description: HSALNT0076703
Source: RNAcentral
UUCUAGCUCCUCUUCUCAUUAGUGAUGUAAUUCCCUCAGGAAUCUCCUCAUAAAGAAAGACAUCUGUUUCCAUUUUCUUCUUAGAGGAACAGGAUCUCUAUACAUCAUUGAAUAGAUUAGUGUCAUGAGUGUUAGCACUUUCCAUGAAGCACAAUCCCAAAGACCAUGAAAAAUUGAGAUCCGCAGAGGAGAGGAUGGAAAGUGUUUCCCCCACACCACAGGGUGUUUUACUGCUGCUGCUGCUGUUUAAGGCUACUCUACCACUUGCAAGCUGCUGUUUCUGACCUUCUGGAGUUUGGAGGAAGGAAGAAAAGAAAAAGAAGAAAAGAAAGUUUUUAUUUUACUGUUGCAUCUUUUCAACAAAGUUGACUCUCUCCCUACAAAGGAAAGUUUGUAUCAGCUACUGAGAAGACUUGGACUGGAACUUACUUCACCAGAUCUCAUGGUUCUUGGGCCUUCAGACUCAGGUUGGAACUAUGCUAUCAGCUUUCCUGGAUCUCCAGCUUGCUGACUACACAAUCUAGGACUUCUCAGCCUUUGUAAUUGUGAGGAACAAAUUGUUCUACAGAAAAUGAAGGAAACUCCAAAUGUUCAAGAGACUGGGGAUGAUAUAUGAAAGCUUUCACCAUUAGGAUAAAAAAGAGCAAGAAUAGCUCACAUACCAUGUGAACCACUUUUGGGAAUCAGAUGUGUACAUUCCAAAGUAAAAUGACUUCAGUGUAUAUAUACAAGGAUGAUAAAUGUCCUGCUGAGAACAGCGGCAAAACAACAAGAAGAACCACCGUAAAGCUCCUGCACAUACUUAUAUACUGAAUAGGACCAUGAAAAAGUGCUUAAGCUCAAACAGGAAUACUUCUAUGAUUAUGUGAAGAAGCCUGGGCUAGCCUGCUGAAGGAUGAAGGACCAUGUAGAAAGCAGCCUCAGCUAUUCCAGUUGAGUCACCAGACGUGUGAAUGAGAUGAUCCUAUACAUCAGCCUCAGCUUAGUUGCCUUUGCCAGAAUUUCUCAACCAAACCUAAGUAUUAUGAAAAGUAAUAAUUAUUUGUUAAAUUUGGCCAAUACAUAGUACAUCUUGGGGUGGAUUGUUACCAGUUAGCCAACACUAAGUGGUAUACCAUGUCAUGCUAUACUUAUUUCUUUUCCUUAGGAAAUUGACAAAGUGUUUUACUGAUGUUAACUUGGAAUGCAUUUAAAGACAAAAAAAGGAAAACCUUAAUCCAACAUUGACAUUUCAUUCCUGCAUCUUUAAUGGUUUGAUCAGAAUAAUCAGUGACUCAUAAUUAUAAUGGAUGCAUAAGUGGGCACAUUUUGAUAUUAAAAAAGUGAGGUAAUAUACACAUUACUAAAUAUGAUAAUGCUAGUGAUUUUCCUACUCAACUUAUGUUUAAGGACAUGUCACCAAUAGUGGUAUUCAACUUCAUUUGAAAUUCAAAACAUUAAAGUUAAUUUUUAAACAUUUUUAUUGAGUUGAAGCUAGAGAGUUGAAGAAAAAAUAAGAAAAUUAAGAUUUCACUUCAUAUACAUGUAAUGGAUGUAUUUUGUGGUAAUGCAGUUUUAGUGUUUAGACCACUAUGAAACUAGUAAGAUAGUGGUUUUAAGUGUUGAUCUAGUUAUUUUGAACCUAUAGCUUUGAAAAUGCAUGAAGCUCAUUUUAACAUAAAAUAUAUGGUUUUAAGAUGAAUUCUUCCUCAUAUUGCAUUCUUUCCUCCCUCUACCAGUUUCCUCUCUAUAGGUAUUUGUAUAUAUAUUGACUCUUAGACAAAUUGAGUAGAUAUUAUAUCUGAGUCAACAAAUGUGUAUAUAGACACAUGAACACUAAGAAAGGGCAUUAACAUUUCUAAAAUACGUCAGAUGUACUGACAUAA